GGCAGCUUCGCGCUAUGGCUGCUGCCGACCGCCAGGCGCUGCUACAGUGGAUGCGAACUACCGGGUAAUAGAUGAGAUACUCAAGUUCAGAGAGGUGUGGAAGUCAUUUGACAGAGCAGUCGGGCCCAAGUGGUUUCCUUAUGCCGAGUCAGCACGUCAUCCUUUUUCCUCAAAAAUAACAGCAACAACAUUCCUGCAGCUUGCCUCCGCAGCAUUAUAUCGUGCUGCAGAAACCAGCUCAACUAUGCAAAACUACCACCAGGAUUGGCCAACACCAGGAGGGAUUCCAGAGACCACACUGCAGGGAGCAUACAGAAAGAAAAUUAAGAGAUCAGAUGCAGCAACAGCCCGAACCCACAGUUCACCUUGGUGCAUUCCUUUAUGACGAAGACUUAUUGAUUCAUUAUAUGAGAAAGGAAAAAUGAGCAGGAACUACUAUAUGAUGUGCAGCUCACACCAGACAGCGCCUUUAGGAUUAUCUUUCCAGUUCAGCAGUGCAAGUCUAUGGAGUAGAAUUGAAAGGAGACUUUCGCCAGUUGCAGGAAAUGGUCAUAAAAAAAUACCUGUUCACUGACAGAAUAAAGGUAACUUUUAACUUA
RNAcentral lists this small RNA (599 nucleotides) under Pongo abelii (Sumatran orangutan). RNAcentral's name for it is "processed transcript". The record is from RNAcentral. Lineage: Eukaryota; Metazoa; Chordata; Mammalia; Primates; Hominidae.